AUUAAUUUAAAAUUCUCUGGAGUAGUAAAAGUUACGAUCUUUAAACUCAAAAGAUUUGGCGGUAUUUUAUCUUAUUAGAGGAACUUGUUUAUUAAUUGAUAAUCCCCAACUAUCAUUUACUUUUUAUUAUUAUAUUUGUAUACCGCUGUCAUGAAUAUACUAAAAAGUUUAUUUUCAAUUAUUUUUAAUUUAAUUUAUGUUAGGUCAAGGUGCAGUUUUAAAAAGAGUUGAUGAGUUACACUAAAUCAGAUGAAUGGAUUAAUAAAAAUUAAUUUAUAAUGAAAAAGGAUUUAACAGUAAAUUUAUUUAUAGUAAUAUAAUGAAUUUAGAUUCUAAAAUAUGU
This 343-nucleotide ribosomal RNA is filed under the name Trioza sp. 1 DHT1. RNAcentral describes it as "partial 12S ribosomal RNA". Lineage: Eukaryota; Metazoa; Arthropoda; Insecta; Hemiptera; Triozidae. The record is from RNAcentral.